This 1292-nucleotide ribosomal RNA is filed under the name Triticum aestivum (bread wheat). RNAcentral describes it as "partial small subunit ribosomal RNA". Lineage: Eukaryota; Viridiplantae; Streptophyta; Magnoliopsida; Poales; Poaceae. The record is from RNAcentral.
GUAAGCUGCGGGGUAAGAAGGCACGGCACCCUGCCGUGCCCAGCGGGCACGGUAGAGGAGCCGGUUCCCUCUCUCUCCCGCUCGUCUCUCCCUCUCCCUCUCGUGAGCAGCUACGGCGGCCCAUUCCGGCGAGCUCCGGCGGGAUUCGACGGCGCCCAGCACACCCACGUGACCCCCUCCCCCCGCUCCUCCAUCCCCUCCGACCAGAUCAGACGCGCGCGUGGGAUCAGAUGUUGCUAGGGGUAGUUCGGGGCGUGCGGGCGGACCAGAUCGACCUCAAGACCCUCGACGAGCAGCUCAACCGCCACCUCGCGCGCGCCAGGACUGGGAGGCCGACCCCGCCAGGCUCGUCGUCCGGGGCGUCAUCGCGCGCGGCACCUUCGGCACCGUCCACCGUGGCGUCUUCGACGGCCUCCACGUCGCAGGUCCAUCCCGCCACCAUCUCCUCUGCUCCACUCCCCUCCCCUCCACCCCCCGUUCACUGCACGCCUGUUCAUUGCCAACACGGACACUCGGCACGCGGGUACGUACGCAGCCAGCCCAGCCCAGCCGCGACCCCGCGCGCGCCCGUACGCUGUUCGACGGAAUGCCUGCUGGUGCGGCGGCGCCGUUCGUUGCGGCGAGACUUGUUGGAAUUAAACACGACAUAACCUCCCGUAUACGUGUGCGUAUAGGUUUCUUGUUCUUGCAUGUAUCCGUGUAGGAUUUAGUCUCGGAGUAGUAUUGCCUAGGCAGCUAGCUUCUACUAUAUAUAUGCGUGAACCCUGUAACUUGUACCACCGAACCGUGAGUUGAAGCAAUAAACAAGAGACGUACCUGUGGCAAUCCAAUCGAUUCUAGCGUUUUGUGUACGUGCGUUUGCAAGUCAGCCGGCUAGUAGCUCGACUUGAUUUUGCAACCCCCAAGCUGUAGGUACGCAUUGCUCUUCAAUGGAAAUCAAUUUAAACCCUCGUGGGAAAAUCUGGACUGUCCUAAGGUUGAUUUUUUUUAAUUUUAAUCCUGUAAGCACUUGAAUUGAAAGACAUAAAUAAAGGUAUUUCAGUAGUGGAUAACCUUACCUCAUUAGCCUAGACAGCACUAUAGUCAGUAUGCUGUUGUCGACCCAUAUAUCCCAGGACAGGUUAUGCAGAUUUUCUGUACCAAAUAGCCUGUCCCCCUCAUCUCUUUUUCUUGCUGUCUCACCUCUCAAUCCCGAAAACAGUGUUUCACCUCAAUUCUUAUUUCCUCUUUGGGGGCAAUAGUUGCUAUGGAAGUUGAAAGCUCUUAUUUGAACUGUCAGUUUUGAGCAUGGA